RNAcentral lists this ribosomal RNA (245 nucleotides) under uncultured bacterium. RNAcentral's name for it is "partial 16S ribosomal RNA". It matches the Rfam family "Bacterial small subunit ribosomal RNA", at positions 524 to 768 of the family's 1533-position model. The record is from RNAcentral.
UACAGAGGUCCCAAGCGUUGUUCGGAUUUACUGGGCGUAAAGGGUGCGUAGGUGGUCGGGUAAGUCUGAUGUGAAAUCUCCGAGCUUAACUCGGAAAUGGCAUUGGAUACUAUCCGGCUUGAGGAUGGGAGGGGAGACUGGAAUGCUCGGUGUAGCAGUGAAAUGCGUAGAUAUCGAGCGGAACACCAGUGGCGAAGGCGAGUCUCUGGACCAUUCCUGACACUGAGGCACGAAAGCCAGGGGAG